This 562-nucleotide ribosomal RNA is filed under the name marine metagenome. Its description in RNAcentral is "bacterial SSU rRNA". It matches the Rfam family "Archaeal small subunit ribosomal RNA", at positions 640 to 1199 of the family's 1478-position model. The record is from RNAcentral.
CUUUGAUCUAUUGAUGACCACCUGUGGCGAAGGCGGUCUACCAGAACACGUUCGACGGUGAGGGAUGAAAGCUGGGGGAGCAAACCGGAUUAGAUACCCGGGUAGUCCCAGCUGUAAACGAUGCAAACUCGAUGAUGCGUUGGCUUGUUGCUAGCGCAGUGUCGCAGGGAAGCCGUUAAGUUUGCCGCCUGGGAAGUACGUACGCAAGUAUGAAACUUAAAGGAAUUGGCGGGGGAGCACCACAAGGGGUGAAGCCUGCGGUUCAAUUGGAGUCAACGCCUGAAACCUUACCCGGAGAGACAGCAGAAUGAAGGUCAAGCUGAAGACUUUACCAGACAAGCUGAGAGGUGGUGCAUGGCCGUCGCCAGCUCGUGCCGUGAGAUGUCCUGUUAAGUCAGGUAACGAGCGAGAUCCCUGCCUCUAGUUGCCACUAUUACACCCUGGUGUAGUAGGGCGAAUUAGGGGGACCGCCGCAGUUAAUGCGGAGGAAGGAAGGGGCCACGGCAGGUCAGUAUGCCCCGAAACUCUGGGGCCACACGCGGGCUGCAAUGGUAACGACAAU